GCAGCGACAGUUUAAGUUUAAACGUCGGUUUUGUAAUCCGAAGAAUGAAAUAAUAAUUUCUCGUUGCU
RNAcentral lists this transfer RNA (68 nucleotides) under Divia briandi. RNAcentral's name for it is "tRNA-Thr". It matches the Rfam family "tRNA". Rfam says of the family: Transfer RNA (tRNA) molecules are approximately 80 nucleotides in length. Lineage: Eukaryota; Metazoa; Mollusca; Gastropoda; Cycloneritida; Phenacolepadidae. The record is from RNAcentral.